This 1100-nucleotide long non-coding RNA is filed under the name Strigops habroptila (Kakapo). RNAcentral's name for it is "lncRNA (ENSSHBG00005013044.1)". The record is from RNAcentral. Lineage: Eukaryota; Metazoa; Chordata; Aves; Psittaciformes; Psittacidae.
CCAGUAUACACAGGGAAGGUUUAUUUUCAUCACUAAUACCUGGGAAGUGGUUUGGAGGAAUAAACUGAAAUCAUUUCCAGACUAGGAGGGAAAGCUGGUUUAUUUUCCCCCCAUAAAUAUAGCUGUAAAGAAAACUAAACCACAAGAGCUGCUCAUACUGAAGCCCACAGGAUUUCUCCAUCUCCACCAGUGUGCAAAAACAGCUUUUCCCAUUAAAUAUAAGAAUAUAUUCCUUCACUCUGGGACUACAGCCAGAACCAAAGCCCACUAUCGCAGCCACUCAAAGGAAGAAAACAGAACACAACACCCAAACAAAACACACCUCCUUAAUAAAAAAAGCAUAAAUCACUUCAGUUCUUGCAAGCUCUCUGCUCAGAGCAUCAUUCCUGUCCUUUCCUGCCCCAUACCGUGGGGCUCCAAGGGAACAGGACCUCCAGACAGCAGCAAUACAUGAGUGAAAAGGUCACUGGACAGACUAGAAGGGGACAUUCAUUGCUGUGGUUUGUUGCAGAGCAGCAAGUACCUGCAGAUGGACACUGGCAGCAGCCCACCCGCUGGGGAGGGGACACAGAGCCCUGCUGCAGCCUCACCAGGGGAUCAGCAGCUUCCUUCCUGCCACCACCUCUUCCAGCAAAGGGACAAGGGCCAUGAAGCCCCAACACUGUGCUGGAAGCACGUCUCAUCCUCAGGGCAGAGCCAACACUGGCAGAACAAAGAGGUAGGGCUGAGCUUGCCCCUUUUGGCAGCUCAAAGGGUUUCCAAAGAAGCCCCCUUUGCUAUGGCUGUACCUUCAAGUGCCCAGACAACCACCCAGGUGAUGGCUGAGCGCUUACUUUGUGUUGGUGGUACCCUACAGACCCAAAAAGCAUGGCACAGUAAGACUAAGCUGGGUGCUGGUGAAACAACCCACCCAGCACACUGCAUCUUUGGGUCUGCAGGACACAGCAGCAGCAAGGAACUGCUCCCCUUCAGCUCCAGCUUGUCUUGGAGCACAGGGGGAGCCUGAGCGCUGUAACAGGCAAAGGACACAGGGAACCAGAGACCAAACAUGCUGCACGUUGGCUCCCAGUGCCCAGGAGACAGGACUUACCAGUAGGUAC